Molecule: ribosomal RNA, 255 nt
Filed under: uncultured bacterium
Lineage: Bacteria
Description: partial 16S ribosomal RNA
Rfam family: Bacterial small subunit ribosomal RNA
Source: RNAcentral
GACGUAGGGCGCGAGCGUGUCCGGAUUUAUUGGGUGUAAAGAGCUCGUAGGUGGUUUGUCGCGUUGUUCGUGAAAACUCACAGCUUAACUGUGGGCGUGCGGGCGAUACGGGCAGACUUGAGUACUGCAGGGGGAGACUGGAAUUCCUGGUGUAGCGGUGGAAUGUGCAGAUAUCAGGAGGAACACCGGUGGCGAAGGCGGGUCUCUGGGCAGUAACUGACGCUGAGGAGCGAAAGCGUGGGGGAGCGAACAGGG